UCAAAAGGAGAGGACACCCUGCCCUUACAGUGGAGAACCUUUCCCUGGUGAUCACAUGACCACUAGAAAGAAACCGAGUAGACAAGAAACAGAUUUCCUGUGUAAAAAACCCCAAGAAAAUAAUACUGAAGAAAUCAAAGAUUAUAAAAACAAAUUAUAGUUUCUAGUUCCUGUUUAUGGCUUCUUACUCCAGUCUGGUUCCCUACUGCUCCUCUCGGGGUAAAAAUCAUCUUAUUUCUUAUUAUUUAUAUGGAAACCCUUCUGCUUUUCACAUGACAACCUUCAUUUUAUUAUCCCUGUUGGUAAAAGCUGCUAAUGAAGAUGAUCUGAUUUGUCCUUACAGAACAACUUCAGGUUCCAUGCUGAGGAUGUCAAACUCUGAGCUUUCCAAAGCAGCUGCCUUCUUAAAAUAG
Molecule: long non-coding RNA, 413 nt
Filed under: Dromaius novaehollandiae (emu)
Lineage: Eukaryota; Metazoa; Chordata; Aves; Casuariiformes; Dromaiidae
Description: lncRNA (ENSDNVG00000015795.1)
Source: RNAcentral